This 72-nucleotide transfer RNA is filed under the name Camelus bactrianus (Bactrian camel). It matches the Rfam family "tRNA". From Rfam's summary of the family: Transfer RNA (tRNA) molecules are approximately 80 nucleotides in length. RNAcentral also lists the same sequence under 1 other name. Lineage: Eukaryota; Metazoa; Chordata; Mammalia; Artiodactyla; Camelidae. The record is from Rfam by way of RNAcentral.
GAGGGUAGAGCUCAGUGGUAGAGCAUGUGCUUAGCCUGCAUGAGGUCCUAGGUUCAAUCCCCAGUACCUCUA